UUGGAGGGCAAGUCUGGUGCCAGCAGCCGCGGUAAUUCCAGCUCCAAUAGCGUAUAUUAAAGUUGUUGCAGUUAAAAAGCUCGUAGUUGAAUUUCGGGAUCAACAUGUCGGUCGUGCCUCCGGUACGUACUGGCAUCGUUGGUUUCUACCUUCUGACAAACCAUGAUGUCAUUAAUUUGGUGUCAUGGGGAAUCAGGACUGUUACUUUGAAAAAAUUAGAGUGUUUAAAGCAGGCACACGCUUGAAUACAUUAGCAUGGAAUAAUGAAAUAGGACGUUUGACCCUAUUUUGUUGGUUUCUAGGAUCGACGUAAUGAUUAAUAGGGAUAGUUGGG
RNAcentral lists this unclassified non-coding RNA (334 nucleotides) under uncultured Glomeraceae. RNAcentral's name for it is "SSU rRNA". It matches the Rfam family "Eukaryotic small subunit ribosomal RNA", at positions 548 to 886 of the family's 1831-position model. Lineage: Eukaryota; Fungi; Glomeromycota; Glomeromycetes; Glomerales; Glomeraceae. The record is from RNAcentral.